This 235-nucleotide ribosomal RNA is filed under the name uncultured Lactobacillus sp. Its description in RNAcentral is "partial 16S ribosomal RNA". It matches the Rfam family "Bacterial small subunit ribosomal RNA", at positions 127 to 355 of the family's 1533-position model. The record is from RNAcentral. Lineage: Bacteria; Bacillati; Bacillota; Bacilli; Lactobacillales; Lactobacillaceae.
UGCCCAAGAGAUCGGGAUAACACCUGGAAACAGAUGCUAAUACCGGAUAACAAUAGAUGAUGCCUAUCAACUGUUUAAAAGAUGGUUCUGCUAUCACUCUUGGAUGGACCUGCGGUGCAUUAGCUAGUUGGUAGGGUAACGGCCUACCAAGGCGAUGAUGCAUAGCCGAGUUGAGAGACUGAUCGGCCACAUUGGGACUGAGACACGGCCCAAACUCCUACGGGAGGCAGCAGCA